RNAcentral lists this ribosomal RNA (650 nucleotides) under uncultured fungus. RNAcentral's name for it is "eukaryotic LSU rRNA". The stretch from base 234 to 388 matches the Rfam family "5.8S ribosomal RNA". Lineage: Eukaryota; Fungi. The record is from RNAcentral.
AAGGAUCAUUACAGUAUGAUUAGAGGGGUUUGAUGCUGGCUUUUAACUGAGCAUGUGCGCGCCCUUCGACUUCAAUCCACAUACACCUGUGCACCCUUGGCGAGUCAGUCUCCCAGCUGCGAAGUUGCGUCCUUGUGAAUUUAUUUGCUUGGAAUUGGGGCUGCUUGUCAUAUACAUUAGUACCAGUUUAUAACGCAUGUUUAAUUUGGCUCUACGGAGCUUUAACAUAAUACAACUUUCAACAACGGAUCUCUUGGCUUUCGCAUCGAUGAAGAACGCCGCGAACGUGCGAAACGUAAUGUGAAUUGCAGAAUUCAGUGAAUCAUCGAAUCUUUGAACGCAUCUUGCGCUCCUUGGUAUUCCGAGGAGCAUGCCUGUUUGAGUGUCGUGAAUACUCUCAAUCUUAAGUCUUUUUUUUACGAGAAGGCUUAGGGUUGGACUUGGAUGUUGCUGCGAUUUUUAAUUGCGGCUCGUCCCGAAAUGCAUUAGCUGGUCCACCUCGGUCUUAACAAACGGUGUGAUAAGAAACAUUCAUUUGUGACUGUAGCGCUGCUGUUAUAGACUGGUGAAAGGACUGCUUCUAAUCGUCUUAAGGACAAAAUUUCAUGUCAUCUGACCUCAAAUCAGGUAGGACUACCCGCUGAACUUAA